AGCAGCCGCGGUAAUUCCAGCUCCAAUAGCGUAUAUUAAAGUUGUUGCAGUUAAAAAGCUCGUAGUUGAAUUUCGGGAUCAAUUUGCUGGUCGUGCCUCUGGUACGUACUGGUAUUAUUGGUUUCUCCCUUCUGACGAACCAUGAUGUCAUUAAUUUGAUGUCGUGGAGAAUCAGGACUGUUACUUUGAAAAAUUAGAGUGUUUAAAGCAGGCAUUAGCUUGAAUACAUUAGCAUGGAAUAAUGAAAUAGGACGUUUGAUCCUAUUUUGUUGGUUUCUAGGAUUGACGUAAUGAUUAAUAGGGAUAGUUGGGGGCAUUAGUAUUCAAUUGUCAGAGGUGAAAUUCUUGGAUUUAUUGAAGACUAACUACUGCGAAAGCAUUUGCCAAGGAUGUUUUCAUUAAUCAAGAACGAAAGUUAGGGGAUCGAAGACGAUCAGAUACCGUCGUAGUCCUAACCAUAAACUAUGCCGACUAGGGAUCGGAUGAUGUUAAUUUUUAAUGACUCU
This 506-nucleotide ribosomal RNA is filed under the name uncultured Glomus. RNAcentral describes it as "SSU rRNA". It matches the Rfam family "Eukaryotic small subunit ribosomal RNA", at positions 569 to 1078 of the family's 1831-position model. The record is from RNAcentral. Lineage: Eukaryota; Fungi; Glomeromycota; Glomeromycetes; Glomerales; Glomeraceae.